Molecule: long non-coding RNA, 844 nt
Organism: Humulus lupulus (European hop)
Lineage: Eukaryota; Viridiplantae; Streptophyta; Magnoliopsida; Rosales; Cannabaceae
Exons: 3
Source: RefSeq, a predicted model, not a curated record
UGUGAAUGAUUUCACGUUGUCCAGCGAUUCCAAGAACUAUUUGCGCAAACGAAGUAUAAAGAAGCUGCUGAACUUGCUGCUGAGUCUCCACAAGGAAUUCUUCGUACUCCUGAUACAACUGCCAAAUUUCAGAGUGUUCCUGUACAAACUGGGCAAAUACCACCCCUUUUGCAGUAUUUUGGUACUCUCUUGACCAGAGGAAAGCUUAAUGCUUUCGAGUCAUUGGAGCUAUCAUGUCUCGUUGUGAACCAGAACAAGAAGAAUUUUUUGGAAAAUUGGCUAGCAGAAGACAAAUUAGAAUGCAGUGAGGAGCUAGGAGAUCUUGUGAAGACCGUGGACAACGACCUUGCAUUGAAAAUCUAUAUCAAAGUCAAAGCAACUCCAAAAGUUGUUGCAACUUUUGCUGAGCGAAGAGAGUUUAAUAAAAUUCUAAUUUACUCAAAGGAGCUUGUAUCAAGAGAGUGAUUAGCAAUUUAUGCAUCACUUGUAAUAUAUAUCUCACAAGCUGAGAUUUCUGAUGACACCUUAUUUAUGAUUUUCCCCUUUUCCUCUUCAGCACCUCAAACCCUUAUUUUUGGAAGUGUUGGUGCAUGCGUCCAUGGUCACUUAAUUUUGUUUAUUUUGUAGAUGUGACAAGCAAAAUAGAAAAGGAUACUUAAUUUUGAAGGCUUUGUGUUGGGCAGCUGUAGAAUAUUUUGUGCUGAAAGUAUUAACUUUUCAAUAUGUUGAAUAUUUAAGACUACUUGAAUACUUAAAGAACAUUUUGUUGUUGAUGACAGUGUUGAAUGUUUUAAACUAAUUUGUGGAUUGUUAAUACAAUGUUGAAUGUUUUUACUUUUUGUUA